This is a long non-coding RNA of Gordionus sp. m RMFG-2023, 327 nucleotides long. RefSeq lists it as uncharacterized. The record is from RefSeq and is a predicted model, not a curated record. NCBI's taxonomy places the organism in Eukaryota, Metazoa, Nematomorpha, Gordioida, Chordodea, Parachordodidae. The transcript has 3 exons.
AAAAACUUUUAUAUUUUACUUUUAGAUGAUAUUGAUAAAAUUCUUGGCAUAAUAAUAUAUGAAGCCUUUGACUCAUUUAUAAAAUGAGAACUAUCUGAAACAAAAUAAAAUUCUAUUCAUUCGCACAGCUCCGGAACUUCCAUUCGAAUCUUAUAUUAAUUUUUAUACUAUGAAACAACAUUUAUUUGAAAGAAGAUAUUUGAAUCAAAUUAUGAUGUUCAAGUCUAAACACAUUUGCAACUCCAAGAUUUUGUUCUGUGGGCUCAUCUUGUUUGUUCUGGCGACGAUGUUUUAUUUUCAUUAUUUUUAUCCGACUAAUUGCUUAAU